This 305-nucleotide long non-coding RNA is filed under the name Malus domestica (apple). Its description in RNAcentral is "long non-coding RNA (MDOM_LNC012379)". The record is from RNAcentral. Lineage: Eukaryota; Viridiplantae; Streptophyta; Magnoliopsida; Rosales; Rosaceae.
UGUGUAUGGUUGAUUGGAUGAGUAUUUUGGCACUUAUUUUUCUUCGUCAACUUUAUACAAGUCAAGGCCUUCUUCGUCAACUUCAGCCAAGUUGGGGCCUUUGAUGACAAAGUACUCUAGCGUAAUUUUUACAAAGAGCCUUGAUGAUUUGUAAGUGCAAACAUUGUUUAAAAGCUGUGAAGGUUUGAAAUGGAUCAUCUGGCAAUGGUUGGCUCGGUGCAGCGAGGCCUCAUAGAUGAUUCACACCUUUGUUUCUCAGACUUGUCUUAUCUUACAAGUCUUCGCUUGGGGUAUGUUUCUUUGCA